AGAAUCAACGCUGGCGGCGUGCCUAACACAUGCAAGUCGAACGCGAAAGUCCCGCAAGGGAUGAGUAGAGUGGCAAACGGGUGAGUAACACGUGGGUGACCUGCCUUCGAGCGGGGGAUAACGUCCCGAAAGGGACGCUAAUACCGCAUGACAUCCUGCCUUUGAAGAGGUGGAGAUCAAAGCUGGGGAUCGCAAGACCUGGCACUUGAAGAGGGGCCCGCGUCUGAUUAGCUAGUUGGUGGGGUAACGGCUCACCGAAGGCAACGAUCA
RNAcentral lists this ribosomal RNA (270 nucleotides) under uncultured bacterium. RNAcentral's name for it is "partial small subunit ribosomal RNA". It matches the Rfam family "Bacterial small subunit ribosomal RNA", at positions 26 to 282 of the family's 1533-position model. The record is from RNAcentral.